ACGAACGCUGGCGGCGUGCUUAACACAUGCAAGUCGAACGGAAAGGCCCUGCUUUUGUGGGGUGCUCGAGUGGCGAACGGGUGAGUAACACGUGAGUAACCUGCGCUUGACUUUGGGAUAACUUCAGGAAACUGGGGCUAAUACCGGAUAGGAGCUCCUGCUGCAUGGUGGGGGUUGGAAAGUUUCGGCGGUUGGGGAUGGACUCGCGGCUUAUCAGCUUGUUGGUGGAGUAGUGGCUUACCAAGGCUUUGACGGGUAGCCGGCCUGAGAGGGUGACCGGCCACAGUGGGACUGAGAUACGGCCCAGACUCCUACGGGAGGCAGCAGUGGGGGAUAAUGCACAAUGGGCGGAAGCCUGAUGCAGCAACGCCGCGUGGGGGAUGACGGCCCUCGGGUUGGAAACCGCUUUCGCUUGUGACGAAGCGUGAGUGACGGUAAUGGGUAAAGAAGCACCGGCUAACUACAUG
RNAcentral lists this ribosomal RNA (467 nucleotides) under uncultured bacterium. RNAcentral describes it as "partial 16S ribosomal RNA". It matches the Rfam family "Bacterial small subunit ribosomal RNA", at positions 29 to 507 of the family's 1533-position model. The record is from RNAcentral.